RNAcentral lists this ribosomal RNA (1705 nucleotides) under Priolepis cincta (girdled goby). RNAcentral describes it as "16S rRNA". It matches the Rfam family "Bacterial large subunit ribosomal RNA". The record is from RNAcentral. Lineage: Eukaryota; Metazoa; Chordata; Actinopteri; Gobiiformes; Gobiidae.
ACCUCUUAACAGCUAGCCCGCCUUCAAACCUUAAACAAUUCUUAUUAAUCACUUUAACAACAACUAAAACGAACAAAGCAAACCAUUUUUCCACCCAAGUAUGUGAGACAGAAAAGGACUUUCGGAGCGAUAGAAAAAGUACCGCAAGGGAAAGCUGAAAGAGAAGUGAAAAAACUUAGUAAAGACUAAAAAAGCAGAGAUUUCCCCUCGUACCUUUUGCAUCAUGAUUUAGCUAGCACCUAUCAGGCAAAGGGCCCCUUUACGUUUGAACCCCCGAAACUGGACGAGCUACUCCAAGACAGCCUAUCCUAGGGCAAACCCGUCUCUGUUGCAAAAGAGUGGGAAGAUCUUUGAGUAGAGGUGAUAAACCUACCGAGCCCAGUUAUAGCUGGUUGUCUGAGAAAUGAAUAAAAGUUCGACCUUUUUUCCUUCUUUUAGUAAAAAUUGAAGAAUACUUAUUUCCUCUUCGCAAACCUGUAAGAAGUUAAAAGAGCUAUUCAAGAGAGGAACAGCUCUCCUGAAAAGAGACACAACUUUUAAAGAAGGCUAAAGACUAUAAGAAAUUCUAAGGACAUAAAUCUAAGUGGGCUUAAAAGCAGCCACCUUCCUAAAUAGCGUUAAAGCUUAACUUCAUUAUUUAGCCUAUAAUUUCAAAUAAAAAUUCUUAAACCUCUUUUUUUACCAGACCAUUUCAUGCAACCAUGAAAGAGAAUCUGCUAACAUGAGUAAUAAGAGGGUAUUUAGCCCCUCUCCUCGCACCCGUGUACAUCAGAACGAACCCCCACUGAAAAUUAACGCCCCCACCGAAAUGAGGGAAUUAAGAGAACAAACCCAAAACUAGAAAACUCCACUCAAAACAGCGUUAAACCCACACAGGAGUGCCCCAGGAAAGACUAAAAGAGAAAGAAGGAACUCGGCAAUCACUGGCCUCGCCUGUUUACCAAAAACAUCGCCUCUUGCCCCACAAGUAUAAGAGGUCCCGCCUGCCCUGUGACACAAGGUUUAACGGCCGCGGUAUUUUAACCGUGCGAAGGUAGCGUAAUCAUUUGUCUUUUAAAUGAAGACCUGUAUGAACGGCAUAACGAGGGCCAAACUGUCUCCUUACUCCAGUCAAUGAAAUUGAUCUGCCCGUGCAGAAGCGGGCAUAAAUACAUAAGACGAGAAGACCCUAUGGAGCUUUAGAUAUAAGCCAGCCCAUGUUAAUCACCCCACCAUAGAGGACAAAACUUAAUGGCCCCCUGUGCUUCUUAUCUUUGGUUGGGGCGACCACGGAGAAACAAAAACCCCCCACGAGGAAUGGACUCCACACUCCCAAUGCUCGAGCAGCAGCUCUAACAAGCAGAAUAUCUGACCUUUAAGAUCCGGCAUGACCGAUCAACGGACCCAGUUACCCUAGGGAUAACAGCGCAAUCCCCUUCUAGAGUCCUUAUCGACAAGGGGGUUUACGACCUCGAUGUUGGAUCAGGGCCUCCUAAUGGUGUAACCGCUAUUAAGGGUUCGUUUGUUCAACGAUUAAAGCCCUACGUGAUCUGAGUUCAGACCGGAGAAAUCCAGGUCAGUUUCUAUCUAUGAGACUAUUUUUUUCUAGUACGAAAGGACCGAAAAAAGGAGGCCCAUGCUCAAAGCAUGCCUCUCCCCAAACUAAUGAAGCCAAAUAAAAUAAAUAAAGGGGGAGAAGAAGUUCGACGUCAAGAAAGAGACCAAA